GUAAGAAUGCCAGAGUUAGAUGGGUUUGGUUUAGGAUCAAAUUAGGACAUAAGUCUUCUUGCU
This 63-nucleotide transfer RNA is filed under the name Senga ophiocephalina. RNAcentral describes it as "tRNA-Leu". The record is from RNAcentral. Lineage: Eukaryota; Metazoa; Platyhelminthes; Cestoda; Bothriocephalidea; Bothriocephalidae.